UCCUUUUGUAGAUAAUUUAAGGUCUAGCCUGCCCACUGAAAUUUUAAAUGGCCGUGGUAUUUUGACCGUGCUAAGGUAGCAUAAUCAUUAGUUUUUUAAUUAAAAACUGGAAUGAAAGGUUGGAUGAGAAAAUAGCUGUCUCUAUUAAAUUUAAUUAGAAUUUUAUUUUUAAGUUAAAAAGCUUAAUUAUUAUUAAAAGACGAGAAGACCCUAUAGAGUUUAAUUAUUUAGUAAAAAUUAUAUUUUAGUAUUAAUUUAUUUAUUUUAUUAAAUAAUUUAAUUGGGGUGAUUGAAAAAUUUAAUUAACUUUUUUUAUUUAAGAACAUUAAUUUAUGAAUAAAUGAUCCAAUAUUUUUGAUUAUAAGAUAAAAUUACCUUAGGGAUAACAGCGUAAUUUUUUUAGAAAGUUCAUAUUUAAAAAAAAGAUUGCGACCUCGAUGUUGGAUUAAAAUAAAUUUUUGGUGUAGAAGCUAAAAUAUUAGGUCUGUUCGACCUUUAAAAUUUUACAUGAU
This 512-nucleotide ribosomal RNA is filed under the name Oreina speciosa. RNAcentral's name for it is "partial 16S ribosomal RNA". It matches the Rfam family "Bacterial large subunit ribosomal RNA", at positions 1830 to 2604 of the family's 2925-position model. Lineage: Eukaryota; Metazoa; Arthropoda; Insecta; Coleoptera; Chrysomelidae. The record is from RNAcentral.